GGGAGAUCUUUAUCGKUUUACAUUGUUUCAUUUUUUGGAAACUGGUGAAUGUAGUGAAUUGACAUCUAGCACACCAGUAUUUGAGGCAAACAGCAUAGAAAAGAUAAAAUAUCCUCUGGUCAUGCUAAAAAAGAUCUCAGUUUUCCCCGAGAGCGUUAGACUGCUUUUAGAAGGUA
Long non-coding RNA from Exaiptasia diaphana, 176 nucleotides. RefSeq lists it as uncharacterized. Lineage: Eukaryota; Metazoa; Cnidaria; Anthozoa; Actiniaria; Aiptasiidae. The transcript is spliced from 3 exons. The record is from RefSeq and is a predicted model, not a curated record.